This 496-nucleotide ribosomal RNA is filed under the name uncultured bacterium. RNAcentral's name for it is "partial 16S ribosomal RNA". It matches the Rfam family "Bacterial small subunit ribosomal RNA", at positions 28 to 506 of the family's 1533-position model. The record is from RNAcentral.
GAUGAACGCUGGCGGCGUGCCUAAUACAUGCAAGUCGAGCGAACGGACGAGAAGCUUGCUUCUCUGAUGUUAGCGGCGGACGGGUGAGUAACGCGUGGAUAACCUACCUAUAAGACUGGGAUAACUUCGGGAAACCGGAGCUAAUACCGGAUAAUAUUUUGAACCGCAUGGUUCAAAAGUGAAAGACGGUCUUGCUGUCACUUAUAGAUGGAUCCGCGCUGCAUUAGCUAGUUGGUAAGGUAACGGCUUACCAAGGCAACGAUGCAUAGCCGACCUGAGAGGGUGAUCGGCCACACUGGAACUGAGACACGGUCCAGACUCCUACGGGAGGCAGCAGUAGGGAAUCUUCCGCAAUGGGCGAAAGCCUGACGGAGCAACGCCGCGUGAGUGAUGAAGGUCUUCGGAUCGUAAAACUCUGUUAUUAGGGAAGAACAUAUGUGUAAGUAACUGUGCACAUCUUGACGGUACCUAAUCAGAAAGCCACGGCUAACUACGU